CGCAUCUGUGCAUGCAGCAUAUCAAUAAGCGGAGGAAAAGAGGGCUAUUACCUACGCUUAGGAUGUUGAAGAUGUAGCACAUCAUACACGCAUGACACACUGCAUAUCGAUAAGCGGAGGAAAAGGCUGCUGAACUGAACGACCGCUACCUACGCUUAGGAUGUUGACACACGCGCGUGCUCGGCUCUAUACAUGACUCUGCGCAUAUCAAUAAGCGGAGGAAAAGUACCUACGCUUAGGAUGUUGAAGAUGAGCACAUCAUACACGCAUGACACACUGCAUAUUCAAUAAGCGGAGGAAAAGGCGGCGGAGAGUAUUGGUGUGGGCGUACCUACGCUUAGGAUGUUGAAGAUGUAGCACAUCAUACACGCAUGACACACUGCAUAUCAAUAAGCGGAGGAAAGAGACUGCGGAACUGAACGACCGCUACCUACGCUUAGGAUGUUGACGAGACUGUCGAUCUCAUCUAUACAUGACUCUGUGCAUAUCAAUAAGCGGAGGAAAAGUCAAUUACCUACGCUUAGGAUGUUGAAGAUGUAGCACAUCAUACACGCAUGACACACCGCAUAUCAAUAAGCGGAGGAAAAGGCUGCGUAACUGAACGACCGCUACCUACGCUUAGGAUGUUGAAGAUGUAGCACAUCAUACACGCAUGACACACUGCAUAUCAAUAAGCGGAGGAAAAGGAUGUUGUACCUACGCUUAGGAUGUUGAAGAUGUAGCACAUCAU
RNAcentral lists this ribosomal RNA (730 nucleotides) under uncultured Neocallimastigales. RNAcentral's name for it is "partial large subunit ribosomal RNA". Lineage: Eukaryota; Fungi; Neocallimastigomycota; Neocallimastigomycetes; Neocallimastigales. The record is from RNAcentral.